GAUGAACGCUGGCGGCGUGCCUAAUACAUGCAAGUCGAGCGAACAGACGAGGAGCUUGCUCCUCUGACGUUAGCGGCGGACGGGUGAGUAACACGUGGAUAACCUACCUAUAAGACUGGGAUAACUUCGGGAAACCGGAGCUAAUACCGGAUAAUAUAUUGAACCGCAUGGUUCAAUAGUGAAAGACGGUUUUGCUGUCACUUAUAGAUGGAUCCGCGCCGCAUUAGCUAGUUGGUAAGGUAACGGCUUACCAAGGCGACGAUGCGUAGCCGACCUGAGAGGGUGAUCGGCCACACUGGAACUGAGACACGGUCCAGACUCCUACGGGAAGCAGCAGUAGGGAAUCUUCCGCAAUGGGCGAAAGCCUGACGGAGCAACGCCGCGUGAGUGAUGAAGGUCUUCGGAUCGUAAAACUCUAUUAUUAGGGAAGAACAAAUGUGUAAGUAACUAUGCACGUCUUGACGGUACCUAAUCAGAAAGCCACGGCUAACUACGUG
Molecule: ribosomal RNA, 497 nt
Filed under: uncultured bacterium
Lineage: Bacteria
Description: partial 16S ribosomal RNA
Rfam family: Bacterial small subunit ribosomal RNA
Source: RNAcentral